UACAGAGGGUGCGAGCGUUGUUCGGAAUUACUGGGCGUAAAGCGCGCGCAGGCGGCUCUUUAAGUCUACCCGUGAAAUGCCGGGGCUCAACCCCGAGCACGCCGGGGGAUACUGGAGGGCUGGAGACAGGUAGAGGCAAGCGGAAUUCCGGGUGUAGCGGUGGAAUGCGUAGAGAUCCGGAAGAACACCGGAGGCGAAGGCGGCUUGCUGGGCCUUGUCUGACGCUGAGGCGCGAAAGCGUGGGGAGCGAACAGG
Molecule: unclassified non-coding RNA, 255 nt
Filed under: uncultured Gemmatimonadota bacterium
Lineage: Bacteria; Pseudomonadati; Gemmatimonadota
Description: uncultured Gemmatimonadetes bacterium contains 16S-23S intergenic spacer region
Rfam family: Bacterial small subunit ribosomal RNA
Source: RNAcentral